AAUAAGUUCAUUUUUAGGUUUUGACGGUCUGUCUUAUUUAUUUUUUUAAUUAGUAUUUUGAUUGUUAUUAGAUGAUAAAACAUAAAUAGUAUUUUAUGCAUGACUUAUUUUAUUUAGAUUUUUUUUAUAAAUUUUUAAAAUAAGACGGAUGAUCAAACGUUCAACCAAAAACCCCUAAAUGAAUUUAUU
MicroRNA precursor from Oryza sativa Indica Group (long-grained rice), 189 nucleotides. It matches the Rfam family "MIR812 microRNA precursor family". The record is from Rfam. Lineage: Eukaryota; Viridiplantae; Streptophyta; Magnoliopsida; Poales; Poaceae.